Molecule: non-coding RNA, 87 nt
Organism: Hordeum vulgare subsp. vulgare (domesticated barley)
Lineage: Eukaryota; Viridiplantae; Streptophyta; Magnoliopsida; Poales; Poaceae
Source: Rfam
GGAUGGAUGUCUGAGUAGUUGAACGAAUUGGUCUUGAAAACCAAAGUAUUGAUUGGAAUAUCAGGGGUUCGAAUCCCUCUCCAUCCA